RNAcentral lists this transfer RNA (30 nucleotides) under Blandfordia punicea. RNAcentral describes it as "partial tRNA-Phe". Lineage: Eukaryota; Viridiplantae; Streptophyta; Magnoliopsida; Asparagales; Blandfordiaceae. The record is from RNAcentral. RNAcentral also lists the same sequence under 1 other name.
UCGGGAUAGCUCAGUUGGUAGAGCAGAGGA